GAUGAACGCUGGCGGCGUGCCUAACACAUGCAAGUCGAACGGAGUUAUUAUUAUGAAGUUUUCGGAUGGAUUAAUAAUAACUUAGUGGCGGACGGGUGAGUAACGCGUGGGUAACCUGCCUCAUACAGGGGGAUAACAGUUGGAAACGGCUGCUAAAACCGCAUAACAUUGCACUGCCGCAUGACAGAGCAAGUAAAUAUUUAUAGGUAUGAGAUGGGCCCGCGUCUGAUUAGCUAGUUGGUAAGGUAACGGCUUACCAAGGCGACGAUCAGUAGCCGGCUUGAGAGAGUGACCGGCCACAUUGGGACUGAGACACGGCCCAAACUCCUACGGGAGGCAGCAGUGGGGAAUAUUGCACAAUGGGGGAAACCCUGAUGCAGCGACGCCGCGUGAGUGAAGAAGUAUUUCGGUAUGUAAAGCUCUAUCAGCGGGGAAGAAAAUGACGGUACCUGACUAAGAAGCCCCGGCUAACUACGUGCCAGCCGCCGCGGUAA
This 494-nucleotide ribosomal RNA is filed under the name uncultured bacterium. RNAcentral's name for it is "partial 16S ribosomal RNA". It matches the Rfam family "Bacterial small subunit ribosomal RNA", at positions 28 to 523 of the family's 1533-position model. The record is from RNAcentral.